CUUAACUGGGCGUUAAGUUGCAGGGUAUAGACCCGAAACCCGGUGAUCUAGCCAUGGGCAGGUUGAAGGUUGGGUAACACUAACUGGAGGACCGAACCGACUAAUGUUGAAAAAUUAGCGGAUGACUUGUGGCUGGGGGUGAAAGGCCAAUCAAACCGGGAGAUAGCUGGUUCUCCCCGAAAGCUAUUUAGGUAGCGCCUCGUGAAUUCAUCUCCGGGGGUAGAGCACUGUUUCGGCAAGGGGGUCAUCCCGACUUACCAACCCGAUGCAAACUGCGAAUACCGGAGAAUGUUAUCACGGGAGACACACGGCGGGUGCUAACGUCCGUCGUGAAGAGGGAAACAACCCAGACCGCCAGCUAAGGUCCCAAAGUCAUGGUUAAGUGGGAAACGAUGUGGGAAGGCCCAGACAGCCAGGAUGUUGGCUUAGAAGCAGCCAUCAUUUAAAGAAAGCGUAAUAGCUCACUGGUCGAGUCGGCCUGCGCGGAAGAUGUAACGGGGCUAAACCAUGCACCGAAGCUGCGGCAGCGACACUGUGUGUUGUUGGGUAGGGGAGCGUUCUGUAAGCCUGUGAAGGUGUGCUGUGAGGCAUGCUGGAGGUAUCAGAAGUGCGAAUGCUGACAUAAGUAACGAUAAAGCGGGUGAAAAGCCCGCUCGCCGGAAGACCAAGGGUUCCUGUCCAACGUUAAUCGGGGCAGGGUGAGUCGACCCCUAAGGCGAGGCCGAAAGGCGUAGUCGAUGGGAAACAGGUUAAUAUUCCUGUACUUGGUGUUACUGCGAAGGGGGGACGGAGAAGGCUAUGUUGGCCGGGCGACGGUUGUCCCGGUUUAAGCGUGUAGGCUGGUUUUCCAGGCAAAUCCGGAAAAUCAAGGCUGAGGCGUGAUGACGAGGCACUACGGUGCUGAAGCAACAAAUGCCCUGCUUCCAGGAAAAGCCUCUAAGCAUCAGGUAACAUCAAAUCGUACCCCAAACCGACACAGGUGGUCAGGUAGAGAAUACCAAGGCGCUUGAGAGAACUCGGGUGAAGGAACUAGGCAAAAUGGUGCCGUAACUUCGGGAGAAGGCACGCUGAUAUGUAGGUGAAGUCCCUCGCGGAUGGAGCUGAAAUCAGUCGAAGAUACCAGCUGGCUGCAACUGUUUAUUAAAAACACAGCACUGUGCAAACACGAAAGUGGACGUAUACGGUGUGACGCCUGCCCGGUGCCGGAAGGUUAAUUGAUGGGGUCAGCGCAAGCGAAGCUCUUGAUCGAAGCCCCGGUAAACGGCGGCCGUAACUAUAACGGUCCUAAGGUAGCGAAAUUCCUUGUCGGGUAAGUUCCGACCUGCACGAAUGGCGUAAUGAUGGCCAGGCUGUCUCCACCCGAGACUCAGUGAAAUUGAACUCGCUGUGAAGAUGCAGUGUACCCGCGGCAAGACGGAAAGACCCCGUGAACCUUUACUAUAGCUUGACACUGAACAUUGAGCCUUGAUGUGUAGGAUAGGUGGGAGGCUUUGAAGUGUGGACGCCAGUCUGCAUGGAGCCGACCUUGAAAUACCACCCUUUAAUGUUUGAUGUUCUAACGUGGAC
This 1566-nucleotide ribosomal RNA is filed under the name Escherichia coli. Its description in RNAcentral is "partial 23S ribosomal RNA". It matches the Rfam family "Bacterial large subunit ribosomal RNA", at positions 683 to 2232 of the family's 2925-position model. Lineage: Bacteria; Pseudomonadati; Pseudomonadota; Gammaproteobacteria; Enterobacterales; Enterobacteriaceae. The record is from RNAcentral.